This 834-nucleotide long non-coding RNA is filed under the name Mus spicilegus (steppe mouse). RNAcentral's name for it is "lncRNA (ENSMSIG00000032019.1)". The record is from RNAcentral. Lineage: Eukaryota; Metazoa; Chordata; Mammalia; Rodentia; Muridae.
GUUUUUCCCCCUUUACCUACCAGGUCUGUGGACAUUCUGUGGGCAAGACUUGAGGCCAAGAACUUUGCUGCAGAAGCUGGAAGAUGCUCAUUUGAUUAAGAACACUGCCCUUGUAGGUGGUGAUCUUGUGGCAAGCAAAGAAGGAGGGCCAAUUCUCCUACCAUUCUGAUGCUGUUUUCCUAUGUGGACCAACCUACUGACCAGGAGACUGUACAGGAAUUCAAAAAGAAUCAUGGGAAAUGAGAAUGCCAUUAGAGUCUGGAAGAGUCUAUGCAUCUUGGGUUGGAUGAAAUUCAUGUGUCUACAGAUCCUGGCCAUUCAGACUUAGAUCUCUAAGCUUCACGUAUUGAGUCCGCAAAUCACCUUGACUUCUGCUUCCCAUGAGAACCAGAGUACAAGCAGAACUCACUCCAUAGGCUCCCUGCUUAGAAUACAGUUCUCUUGGCUCCGAGUGCUCUGUGCCUCCUGACCCUGCACCUGCAUCUGUAGGAAGACAGGAAGGCAAGUCUGAAUCCCUUGGCUAGAAAUGAUGUUCAUAGGCAAAGCUUACAGUCAGUGUGCUUUAGAACUUCUCGUGUUUCAGACUCCUCCCUCAGCUAUCCGAUGCCACAAGAUGCCUCAUCUACAAAAGCAGGCACGGACCUCUCAGGGAGUGCAUUGUUGAUCCCACAUAAGGAGGGAGCUGUUUGGACAAUGUGGAGACUUCAGAAAAGCCUGUGUAGAAGCUGUUCCAGCCACAGCAAUGUGACAGCGUUUCAGGCAAUUUUAUUGUAGGACUUCUUUCCCAGGAAAGAAGAACACCCAAAUCCCUCAAUAAACUCUCAACAACGUACA